UUAAUCAGUAGAGGCGCGCUGCCUAUCAGUACCCGUGCGGAGGAUGAUCCCGAUGAUGCCGGAGAAAGGAGUCAGCGCCGAAGUGACUGCAGUUAUCACGCUCAGUUGCUGGGUCUGUGUCGAAUAGGCACAGAACUGCCAUAGUAUUUUUCCUAUGGAGCGCUACCUGAAGG
This 173-nucleotide non-coding RNA is filed under the name Vibrio sp. Its description in RNAcentral is "Lysine sequence". It matches the Rfam family "Lysine riboswitch aptamer". Rfam says of the family: Riboswitches are metabolite binding domains within certain messenger RNAs that serve as precision sensors for their corresponding targets. The record is from RNAcentral. Lineage: Bacteria; Pseudomonadati; Pseudomonadota; Gammaproteobacteria; Vibrionales; Vibrionaceae.